This 433-nucleotide ribosomal RNA is filed under the name uncultured bacterium. Its description in RNAcentral is "partial 16S ribosomal RNA". It matches the Rfam family "Bacterial small subunit ribosomal RNA", at positions 29 to 507 of the family's 1533-position model. The record is from RNAcentral.
AACGAACGCUGGCGGCAUGCCUAACACAUGCAAGUCGAACGAGACCUUCGGGUCUAGUGGCGCACGGGUGCGUAACGCCUGGUAACCUGCCCUUAGGUUCGGAAUAACUCCCCGAAAGGUGUGCUAAUACCGGAUAAUGUCUUCGGACCAAAGAUUUAUCGCCUUUGGAUGGGCCCGCGUUGGAUUAGCUAGUUGGUAGGGUAAAAGCCUACCAAGGCGACGAUCCAUAGCUGGUCUGAGAGGAUGAUCAGCCACACUGGGACUGAGACACGGCCCAGACUCCGACGGGAGGCAGCGGUGGGGAAUAUUGGACAAUGGGCGAAAGCCUGAUCCAGCAAUGCCGCGUGAGUGAUGAAGGACUUAGGGUUGUAAAGCUCUUUUACCCGGGAUGAUAAUGACAGUACCGGGAGAAUAAGCUCCGGCUAACUCCGUG